GGAUUAGGCAUGCAAGUCGAACGAGAAAGGUUCCUUCGGGGACCGAGUACAGUGGCGAAAGGGUGAGUAAUGCAUAGAUAACCUGCCCUCGAGAUGGGAAUAACCUCGGGAAACUGGGGCUAAUACCCAAUGAGACCACGUGUCGCAAGGCAAGUGGUCAAAGAUAGCUUCGGCCCUCGCUCGAGGAGGGGUCUAUGUCCUAUUAGCUUGUUGGUGGGGUAGCGGCCCACCAAGGCAACGAUGGGUAGCCGACCUGAGAGGGUGGCCGGCCACACUGGGACUGAGACACUGCCCAGACUCCUACGGGAGGCUGCAGUCGAGAAUCUUCCGCAAUGCGCGCAAGCGUGACGGAGCGACGCCGCGUGGAGGAUGAAGGCCUUCGGGUUGUAAACUCCUGUCACCUGGGAAGAAAGGUAGGUAGUUAAUAGCUGUCCUGCUUGACGUUACCAGGAGAGGAAGCACCGGCUAAAUACGUGCCAGCAGCCGCGGUAAUACGUAUGGUGCAAACGUUGUUCGGAAUCACUGGGCUUAAAGAGCACGUAGGCUGUUGAGAAAGUCUGAUGUGAAAUCCCUCAGCUCAACUGAGGAACUGCAUUAGAAACUUCUCGGCUAGAGUGCAGGAGGGGAGAGUGGAAUUCCUGGUGGAGCGGUGAAAUGCGUAGAUAUCAGGAGGAACGCCGGUGGCGAAAGCGACUCUCUGGCCUGCUACUGACGCUGAGGUGCGAAAGCUAGGGGAGCGAACGGGAUUAGAUACCCCGGUAGUCCUAGCCCUAAACGAUGGGCACUAAGUAGAGGGGUUUU
RNAcentral lists this ribosomal RNA (801 nucleotides) under uncultured Planctomycetota bacterium. RNAcentral describes it as "bacterial SSU rRNA". It matches the Rfam family "Bacterial small subunit ribosomal RNA", at positions 46 to 832 of the family's 1533-position model. The record is from RNAcentral. Lineage: Bacteria; Pseudomonadati; Planctomycetota.